RNAcentral lists this ribosomal RNA (987 nucleotides) under Triticum aestivum (bread wheat). RNAcentral describes it as "partial small subunit ribosomal RNA". Lineage: Eukaryota; Viridiplantae; Streptophyta; Magnoliopsida; Poales; Poaceae. The record is from RNAcentral.
AUGAUAUCCACCUUGCAAAAGCGUCUCCAAUAUGCGCUUCUAUCUUUGGUGGGAUCUUCGAGUUCCUUUAGGAUAGGGUCGCGUAUUGGGCAUGACACUGACAUAGAAGCCAGGAUAGCCUACUUUGUAGAGAAAGCAAAAGCAGAUGCUGAUUUCUUCUACAGGAUAAGAUUGGACGAUGAGGACCGUGUCAGAAACAUGUAUUCGGUGGAUGGUGCUGCAAGAAGGGCCUACAAACAUUUCCGUGAUUGCAUAUCAUUCGACACGACAUAUCUCACUAAUUUGUACAAGAUGCCCUGCGCUCCAUUCGUAGGAAUAAAUAACCACAAUCAGUCAUUGCAGUUUGGUUGCGGACUCGUUCGGAACAAAGAUACGGAUGGUUACACUUGGCUGUUCAAAACCUUCUUGGAGUGCAUGGAUGGACUUGCUCCGAUGAACAUAAUAAUAUACCAGGAUUUUAGCAUGCGUGCAGGCAUAGGGGAGGUCUUUUCGUUGGCAGUGCACAGGCACUGCAGGUGGCAUAUUAAUAAAAAGGCUGAGGAGACGCUAGGACCAUUUUUUGCUGACCGUCCAGAGCUGCACAAGGCAUUCGAGUUGUGCAUGGACCACAACCUGACGGUGGAGGAGUUUGAACGGAGUUGGACGACUAUGAUUGAAACAUACCAAGUCCAAGACAACGAGACACUUACUGGCCUGUGGGAGAAGCGAAUGUCUUGGGUGCCGGUCUACUUCAUGCAGUGCUUCUUCCCAUUUCUGCAGACUACGCAACACAGCAAGGUGUUCAAUGCUGUUUUGAAGCGGUACGUGAGCCCUAGCAAAUCAUUCCUGCAGUUUGCCAAGCAAUACACAACUUUGCAACAGAAAAUACUGGGAUCUGAGCUACGACAAGAAGCGAACACCGCACUCAAGCAGCCUAAAUUUCUAACAUAUUUGCCAAUGGAGAGGCAGAUGAGCAAGAUAUAUACCAACAAGAUUUUUAACAAGUAA